UGUGUGUGUGUGUGUGUGUGUGUGUGUGUGUGUGUGUGUGUGUGUGUGUGUGUUUGUACCGGGCAGGGAGGGGGGUCCAGAUAUAGAUCGUGACCCUCCCACCUAGUACAGUUUCUUGCAUAUAGUUCCAAAAAGGGAUUGCCAGAGACUUUGUGGUUCAUUUUGACAAAUGAUUACUAUGUGGAUAUAGGAACAGGAAUUCCCUGGUUUAUAAAAGAACUUCUGGAGGGAGUCUAGUCAAUGCAGACGUCUCUGCAUCUUCGUGUUGCCCCGUGCACAUUGUUUAUCUGGGUCUCUCUGUGGGCUCAUGUGAGCAAUGUUUCCAAUUUGGUAUUUUGUUGCUUUUAUUUAAAAGCCUAAUAUCAUAUUAUACAGAGGUUUGUUCAGAUUUUAACCAGAAAUGGAUGUUUCUGUAGUUCUGUGGUCUGUUCCUUUUGUGCAUGUUUGUGUAAGUGUAUGUGCAUAUCUGCAUCUGUCAGUCUGUAAGAAACAAAAAAGUGUGCAUAUUGCAUGUGUAUGCCUUUUAUAUUUGCCUCCUUUUUUCCCCCUCCUAGACACCUAAACAGUUAGGUACUUGCAUGGCAAUUUAUACAUAACUACAUUGCAUUGCUGUAAUUGGUUAAUCUUUUCUACUGUAUGAGUGCUUAGAAAUACAAUUUACAAUGCUCAAAUAACUAUAGCUACAACCAUGACACUUGAAACAAUGUCCUGCAUGUAAAGCCAGUAAAAUCUGUGGUUUUGAAUAUUUUUGUUUUAAAAGAAAGCUGUAAGAAAAGUGAAAAACAUCAUAGUUCUAUGUGUUCUGUUCAUGUUUUUGCAGGAAGCUAUUUAAGAAAAUCCACAAGAAGUUCUUGUAGAAGAAGAAUCUGCCUUGCGCAAUCUGUUUAUCUCAGUUCCAUAUGCCAAGAGGCCAUUUUUGCAGCUUAAUCAAGGAACAAGAUGACAGAGACUUUUUAUUUAACUUCUGUUUCUAAAAGCUUUAAAAUGCUUGGAUAUUUCUAAUUGCCAAUUGUUGGGCAUUAUGUUUUUUAUUAUUUUGUAGAAAUAGAAAGACCUACCAGUUUUUAAUCUAGACAGUAUAACAUAAAUACAUAAUACAUACAUACAGAGUUGUUUAAAGCUCAUUUUAGUGUUUUGUUUCUUGUUUUUUCCCCCAUAGAUUUACAGCUGUUCGGAUUUGACAGCAUUUCAGACAUGGUAAGCCUAUAUUCUGAAUCUUUUAUUAAGUUUUGUACUAAUUAAUAGGUACUGUUAAAACUUUUAUAAAAAGGUGUAUUAAUAGAAAAAUGCGGUUUGGGCAAUCAGAUUGUACGGCUAUAUGGGAGAUAAAGGACAACAGGGCAAUCAUAAGCAGCCAUUUAAAAAAAAGCAAAAUGCCAGAUGUGACUACUAUUGCAUGUGAGAGAGAUUUAUUAUGUUAACACUUAAUACUUGGGCAUGAGGAUGUGCGUCUAUAUAUAUAGGCUGUUGAAUACAUGUGGAAUUAUGUUUACACAAGAGUCUAUGUGCAUGUGCCUAUAUCUGUGUUUGUCUGUUAGACCUGGCUAGAGAACGUAAGUCAUAUGUAUAAAUAAAAGAUCAUGUAGUAAGGUUACCACAAGACUAUGCCAACAAUUAAGUUUGUUUGUUUUUUAGUGUAUACAUUGGCUGUUGCCUCUCUGUCAACAUUUGGAGCUGAAUUUGUUUAAAAUGCGUGAGAUUUGAUUUACAAUGUUUAAGGUAAACUUAUACUAACAUAAAAUAGUGUUCAGUGUAUUUUGCUUUUACAUUUGUUAGAAGAAACAUGUAAAUAUAUAACUAUGUGAUUUAGUUGAGUUAGUACUUUUAAGUAAUCACUGUAUAUAUUAAGCAAUACUGAAUUGCUAAAAACAUACUGCUUUAAAUGUGUUAUGUGUACAUUAAAUGCAAUGAUAUCCCCAUGAUUGAAAUAAUAUAUGAUUGUACACAGGCAUGAAAACACAUAUACGCAUGUAUGUGCUGUGUGUGUGUGUGUGUGUGUGUGUGUGUGUGUGUGUGUGUGUGUGUGUGUGUUAAGUUUGGGAUUUUGCAUGAGAAGACGCAGAAUUCUCCUCUGAGUGUGUGUGUGCGCCAGUUAUUAUGACUCAGAACGUAUAUUGUAAGAUAAGGAGGCCAUAAGGUGCUUGCAUACAUAAAAUCAGAUGACAAAUGUAUUCUUAAGACUUUUUUGGAAUAUGUAACUGCAUUUUUUUGUAAAAUUUAAUAUCAUAUAUAUUUUUGCAGCACUGUCUGUGUGGAAAAAGGUGUGGAAAAAGGUGAAAUCAUGAGUUAAUAAUUAUUACUUGUAAGUGUACUACUUUUAAAUAGAAAACUAAGGGAGACAAUAGUUUAUAAAUUUUUAAACCUGCAGAUGUUCUUGAAAAUGUUAAGCAAUGUUCUGUGCAUGUGUGCGUGUGUGUGUGUGUAUGCAUUUGUUUUUUCUUGUGGUUUAUAUAUCUGUGUAUAUAUGUCUGUGUUUGUAGCUGAAAAAACAGGAAUAAUUUAACAUAAUUAUCUGAUGUUAUUGUCUGUGUUUAAUGGUUUCUUUAAAUGUGUUUUGUUUUCUUUACAUCAGAAAAGCUGUGCUGAACCAAAUCCUGUGGUUGUUUAUCUGCAGAAACCUAAAAGUGGUGAUAUAAGCAGGUACCUCUAGCAUUUUUAGGAUCAGGAGCCUCUGACUCUAUAUAAAAGUUUGCCACUACAAAUGCAGCGCUAUGAAAGCAAGACUGUACAGAAACAGUUAACAUGUAAUAUGUAUACACUUGUUUCUAUAUAUACAUAUAAAACAAUUGCAGCUUAGUGUGUGGAAUGUGAUGUUUACAUUUUCUUGUGAAAUCUAAAAUUAUAUAGAAUAUAAUUAGGCGAGUUGUGAUUAUGAUAUUUGUUUUAUUUGUGAGAUGAGACGUCAUAAUUCAGAAAGGUGUAACAAUUGUUAUGCUGUAAAAAGAAAAACGUUAUAUUUUGACUUUUCUCGAUUAAAUGUUUUAUCUGUUUGUACAGAUGACCGUCAUGAGCACGUGCACAGGGAAUUGGAUAGCUGUGUUGAAAUUCACUUAGGACUGGUCUAUACUCAGCGAGGGCAGCUGAUUAAUUAAGGACCAAUUUGACAAUGUCAGGUAUUUAAGUCUCUAUCUCUAUAGGGCUUGCGUUUUGGGCAGUAUGCAGUAUACUGAGAACGCUGUAAUUUGCUCUCGUUUCAUGAUGCGUUUGGUGCGUGUUGUUUUUACAAAAAUAGUAAUAAAAACCAAAAAGCAGAAUAAAGUAAUAACUAAAGAUGACUGUAGAAUGAAGUAAGACGUUUAACAUUAUAGCUGCGUGUGUUUGUCUGUGAGAAGGCUGCUGUGUGGCAGAGACAAUGUGAUACUUUGACGGUCUUAAACGUUCAGUAUUUUCUGUGCAAAGGUGUAAAUGGUUGUUAGAGGACGAUGCUUACAAAAACAGUCUUUGUUGCUGUGUACUGAUUGUCAUGAGAGUCGAGAUGCUUUAAAUAAAAAAUAAGUAUUUAUGAGAUAUAAUACGAGCAAAAGUAUUUUGUUAGAACAGAACACGUGGAUAUUUUGAGGACGUUUGUCUGGAAGCAUAGACGAGAUAUUGCGUUUCUGGGUUUUUGAGGGCGCAGUUGAAGUGUAGAAGGUCGCUGUCCACUGCAGAGGUUCUGAAAAUGAAAUCUUGUGUACAGACAUCAGAUUACAGUGCGUUUAUGUCAGACUAUACGUUAAGAAAAUUGUCUAUAAAUGUUUGAUUGCUUGCUACAGGCCGUAGUGAUGUGAGGUGUGCUAAAGACACACGGUACGAUGCAUCACUAACAACGUCCACGGUUUAAGAUCGUCACGGUUCUCAGGAAGAGUGAACAAAAAACAGGAUUUUAAUUGAGAAUCAGGUAGAAAAUUGCAAAUAUAAUCCAGAGUCUACAAAACAGUAAGAAGGAGAGAGAAAGGUGAAAUAUGUAAAUACAUCGAUACUACAGGUGGGGUGAGAGUGACUCAGGGUGAGGAUGUGUGUGCAUGGACCCUAUGGGUGGAGUUUCUUUUAAAUACUGAAUGUAAAUGAUAUUAUUUAACAUAAGAAUAAGCAAGAGGCAAUCUGCGGAACAAAGUUAAGUGUGUGGGUUUAGACACACGCAUCGCCCGUGGCACCGGUGUCUCUAAAAGUUUGAAAAUAUUUCAGCGUAACAUGUAAAUGUCUUGUUAUAUCCAAUGUACUAAAUGUAUGUUAUAAUAUCUUGCAGGAAAUGGUGCACAUAGUGAAAUUAAACUAAUGUCUGUAUCAGUGUUGCUGUUCUGUGUACACAGCUGAGAAAACUUUGUAAUGCUUUGUAAUGCUAUAUAUAUAUAUAUAUAACGAAUUAUAUAUUUUACGUUUUGGGUGUUUAAUGAAUUCUGAUAUUGUGUCACUGUAACAUUUGGCAUCGUAUUAAAGUUCAAAUAAAUAAAACCUGUAUUUUC
Molecule: long non-coding RNA, 4442 nt
Organism: Silurus meridionalis
Lineage: Eukaryota; Metazoa; Chordata; Actinopteri; Siluriformes; Siluridae
Exons: 3
Source: RefSeq, a predicted model, not a curated record